CGAGCUGGUUGGUGGGGUGAUCUGCCGGUCUGUGCAGGACACAUGGGAAGUAUGCAGUCAGCUAGAUCAUGGACCGGCAUUUGGGAGACAGGAGGACAGCAGUGGGCACAAUGUAUGCUUUAGAUCACUGUCUUCAUUUUGGAAAGGAUUACUGCCCUCAUUGCCCAGAGAAGGAUUGCUGAAAAUGUCAGUGGCUGGAAUGAGGCAUCAUUUUACUGGGGCAAGUUUUCAAGAAAAAUCAGAUCCUUGAUCAGGAACUGGGGCUCAAAGUUUUCAAAGAGGUUUUGAAUUUGAAAUGAGAUAAAAUUAGUACUAGCAAACCUGACUGAUUGU
Molecule: non-coding RNA, 333 nt
Organism: Chiloscyllium plagiosum (whitespotted bambooshark)
Lineage: Eukaryota; Metazoa; Chordata; Chondrichthyes; Orectolobiformes; Hemiscylliidae
Source: RefSeq, a predicted model, not a curated record